ACGGGGCGCAGCAGGCGCGAAACCUUUACACUGCACGCCAGUGCGAUAAGGGGAUCCCGAGUGCACAGGCAUAGAGCCUGUGCUUUUCUGAACCGUAGGGAGGUUCAGGAACAAGAGCUGGGCAAGACCGGUGCCAGCCGCCGCGGUAAUACCGGCAGCUCGAGUGAUGGCCGAUCUUAUUGGGCCUAAAGCGUCCGUAGCUGGCCUUGCAAGUCCGUCGGGAAAUCCACCCGCUCAACGGGUGGGCGUCCGGCGGAAACUGUGAGGCUUGGGACCGGGAGGCUUGAAGGGUACGUCCGGGGUAGGAGUGAAAUCCUGUAAUCCUGGACGGACCGCCGAUGGGGAAACCACUUCAAGAGAACGGAUCCGACAGUGAGGGACGAARGCUAGGGUCUCGAACCGGAUUAGAUACCCCCGUAGUCC
Molecule: ribosomal RNA, 423 nt
Filed under: uncultured archaeon
Lineage: Archaea
Description: bacterial SSU rRNA
Rfam family: Archaeal small subunit ribosomal RNA
Source: RNAcentral